RNAcentral lists this transfer RNA (74 nucleotides) under Enterococcus phage 163. It matches the Rfam family "tRNA". From Rfam's summary of the family: Transfer RNA (tRNA) molecules are approximately 80 nucleotides in length. Their secondary structure includes four short double-helical elements and three loops (D, anti-codon, and T loops). The record is from Rfam by way of RNAcentral. Lineage: Duplodnaviria; Heunggongvirae; Uroviricota; Caudoviricetes; Herelleviridae. RNAcentral also lists the same sequence under 2 other names.
GGAGAGGUAGCUCAGUCGGUUAGAGCACUAGCCUGAAAAACUAGGUGUCGGUGGUUCAAUUCCACCCCUCUCCA